ACGAACGCUGGCGGCAUGCCUAACACAUGCAAGUCGAACGGAAAUGCUUAGCUUGCUUUGCAUUUUAGUGGCGGACGGGUGAGUAACGCGUGGGGACCUGCCCUGGAGUGGGGAACAACGACGGGAAACUGUCGCUAAUACCGCAUACGCCCUGAGGGGGAAAGGCUUCGGCCGCUCUAGGAUGGACCCGCGUCGGAUUAGCUAGUUGGUAGGGUAACGGCCUACCAAGGCGACGAUCCGUAGCUGGUCUGAGAGGAUGAUCAGCCACACUGGGACUGAGACACGGCCCAGACUCCUACGGGAGGCAGCAGUGGGGAAUAUUGGACAAUGGGGGAAACCCUGAUCCAGCAAUGCCGCGUGUGUGAAGAAGGCCUUAGGGUUGUAAAGCACUUUCGCCCGCGAAGAUGAUGACGGUAGCGGGAGAAGAAGCCCCGGCUAACUCCGU
This 445-nucleotide ribosomal RNA is filed under the name uncultured bacterium. Its description in RNAcentral is "bacterial SSU rRNA". It matches the Rfam family "Bacterial small subunit ribosomal RNA", at positions 29 to 506 of the family's 1533-position model. The record is from RNAcentral.